RNAcentral lists this transfer RNA (86 nucleotides) under Treponemataceae bacterium. Its description in RNAcentral is "tRNA-Leu". It matches the Rfam family "tRNA". Rfam says of the family: Transfer RNA (tRNA) molecules are approximately 80 nucleotides in length. Their secondary structure includes four short double-helical elements and three loops (D, anti-codon, and T loops). Further hydrogen bonds mediate the characteristic L-shaped molecular structure. tRNAs have two regions of fundamental functional importance: the anti-codon, which is responsible for specific mRNA codon recognition, and the 3' end, to which the tRNAs corresponding amino acid is attached (by aminoacyl-tRNA synthetases). tRNAs cope with the degeneracy of the genetic code in two manners: having more than one tRNA (with a specific anti-codon) for a particular amino acid; and 'wobble' base-pairing, i.e. permitting non-standard base-pairing at the 3rd anti-codon position. The record is from RNAcentral. Lineage: Bacteria; Pseudomonadati; Spirochaetota; Spirochaetia; Treponematales; Treponemataceae.
GCCGAGAUGGUGGAAUUGGUAGACACAAGGGACUUAAAAUCCCUCGACAGUCAAACGUCGUGCCGGUUCGACCCCGGUUCUCGGCA